Molecule: ribosomal RNA, 426 nt
Filed under: uncultured prokaryote
Description: bacterial SSU rRNA
Rfam family: Bacterial small subunit ribosomal RNA
Source: RNAcentral
CAGGGAAUCUUGCGCAAUGGGCGAAAGCCUGACGCAGCGACGCCGCGUGGGGGAAGAAGGCCUGCGGGUUGUAAACCCCUUUUCUCGGGGAAGAAGCUCUGACGGUACCCGAGGAAUAAGCCUCGGCUAACUACGUGCCAGCAGCCGCGGUAAUACGUAGGAGGCGAGCGUUGUCCGGAUUCACUGGGCGUAAAGGGAGAGCAGGUGGCUGAGUUCGUCCGUGGUGCAAGCUCCAGGCUCAACUUGGAGAGGUCUACGGAUACUGCUCGGCUUGAGGGCGGUAGAGGAGCACGGAAUUCCUGGUGUAGUGGUGAAAUGCGUAGAUAUCAGGAGGAACACCGGUGGCGAAAGCGGUGCUCUGGGCCGUUCCUGACACUCAGGCUCGAAAGCGUGGGGAGCAAACCGGAUUAGAUACCCCCGUAGUCC